UACGGAGGGUGCAAGCGUUGUCCGGAAUCACUGGGCGUAAAGGGCGCGUAGGCGGCUCAUGAAGGCUGUGGUGAAAGUCCGGGGCUCAACCUGGGAACUGCGCUUGAUACGGCAGAGCUAGAGGAUGGAAGAGGGUCGCGGAAUUCCCAGUGUAGAGGUGAAAUUCGUAGAUAUUGGGAAGAACACCGGUGGCGAAGGCGGCGACCUGGUCCAUUACUGACGCUGAGGCGCGACAGCGUGGGGAGCAAACAGG
RNAcentral lists this ribosomal RNA (253 nucleotides) under uncultured bacterium. RNAcentral's name for it is "partial 16S ribosomal RNA". It matches the Rfam family "Bacterial small subunit ribosomal RNA", at positions 524 to 776 of the family's 1533-position model. The record is from RNAcentral.